UGCAGAGAUGCGGGAGUGCCUUCGGGAAUUAGAAUACAGGUGCUGCAUGGCUGUCGUCAGCUCGUGUCGUGAGAUGUUGGGUUAAGUCCCGCAACGAGCGCAACCCUUGUCCUUAGUUACCAGCGGGUUAAGCCGGGAACUCUAAGGAUACUGCCAGUGACAAACUGGAGGAAGGCGGGGACGACGUCAAGUCAUCAUGGCCCUUACGACCAGGGCUACACACGUGCUACAAUGGUAGGUACAGAGGGCAGCUACACAGCGAUGUGAUGCGAAUCUCAAAAGCCUAUCGUAGUCCAGAUUGGAGUCUGCAACUCGACUCCAUGAAGUAGGAAUCGCUAGUAAUCGCGGAUCAGAAUGCCGCGGUGAAUACGUUCCCGGGCCUUGUACACACCGCCCGUCGACGCGGCCG
This 409-nucleotide ribosomal RNA is filed under the name uncultured Psychrobacter sp. RNAcentral's name for it is "bacterial SSU rRNA". It matches the Rfam family "Bacterial small subunit ribosomal RNA", at positions 999 to 1408 of the family's 1533-position model. Lineage: Bacteria; Pseudomonadati; Pseudomonadota; Gammaproteobacteria; Moraxellales; Moraxellaceae. The record is from RNAcentral.